AGUGUCGCGGGGGUAUGCUGGAGCCUACCUCAGCUGACUUCGGGCGACAGGCGGGGUACACCCUGGACUGGUCGCCAGCCAAUCGCAAUCGAUCUUCUCGAUCUCUAGACUGUGACUGUGUGGCCAACGUGCUAACCACUAGACCACCGUGCGGCCACAUUGAGGAGUUGUUACGUUUAUUUUACAUUACAUUUGAUUACAUUUAGUUUUAUUUAUAAGUUGCAUCUGGCCCAUUGAGGACAGCUAUUAUGUCGAUGUGGCCCUAAGUGAAAAUGAGUUUGACACCCCUGCUCUAGAGACUCCAAAAAGGGUGGGUAUUCUGAACUGCUGUUUGGCACAUAAGCACAGUCAGGACCCGUCCCACCACUCGAAGGCAGAGGGAAACUACUCUCUCGUUCACCAGGUUAAACUCCAACAUACAGACCACAAGCCGGGGCGCAACAGGAAUUGCCACCCCUGCCCGUCGCCUCUCACUGCUGGCAACACCAGAGUGGAACAAAGUCCAUACCCUCUCGAUAGGACUGCUUCCAGAGCCCUUGCUGUGCGUUGAGGUGAGUCCAACUAUAUCUUGCCGGAACCAGCUCAGGCUCAUUCCCUACCAGAGAGCUGACAUUCCAUGUCCCAAGAGCUAGUUUCUGUAGCCAAGGAUCGGACAGCCAAGGUCCCCGCCUUCACCCAGCUCACUCUGCACCCGACCCCUUUGGACCCUCCCAUGAGUGGUGAGCUCAGUGGACCCCCCCUGCAAUGAGCUCACCACGACAUGGGUCCCCCUCCACCAUGCCUGGCUCCAAAGGGGGGCCCCGGUGACCCGCAUCUGGGCAAGGGAAAAUGUGGUCCAAUGUUUUUUAUCAUCAUAGAGGUCUAUUGAGCUACUCUUUGUCUGGUCCCUCACCGAGGACCUGUUUGUCGUAGGUGACCCUACAAGGGGCAUAAAAACCCUGGACAACUUAGCUCCUCGGUUCAUCGGGACACCUAAACUCCUCCACCACGAUAAGGUGAUAGCUCAGGGAGGAGUAUUGCUGGGCAGUUAUAGGAAAAAUGAGAAAAAGUGCCCCAUUCGGCGUGAGCAGUUGUUUUAAGCAUGUUUUAGGUGGUUUGGUGCAUAUGUGGUUCAGUGGACAGUUGUUGGCAAUGUGCAUAAAUGCACUCCAUUCGGUCUGAAACGCAUUUUCAAGCAAUAAAAGUUACAUUCAGCCACUGCAAGCCAACGGAAGGUGCGAGAAGCGCCAUUUAAAGUGAUAGUGUGGCUACUAAGGGUCAAAAGAAAACAUUGUGUGAUCACAAAAAAAAAAAAUAGGCCAUGCAACUGUUUUGAAUCAAUUUUAAUCUUCUCCCAACCCCUGGGUGUCAUGAGCUAGGGUGCUGCUCUGCUUCCUGUAACGUUCUUGGGAAGGUUUGGACCCCAGAUGCAGAGGCGGAGAACUUGGAGGGCAGUUCAACACUUUCAAUAACACAGUGUGCAAAAAUUGUCCAUGAACAGAAAGCGAUGCUGUUGGCAAGGAACAAAAAUAGACCCCAACACCAUGAAGAAGGCAAACAUAGCAAAAAAAGCUGGGAAGCAGCAGGGCUAAACUGGAAAAAUAUAAAACUAAGAAACAACAGUCCGAGCGUAGAGUGAAAGUCCACAUGUGGAUAGCCGGCAGGAGUGAGGACAAAGAACCAGCGGCUCACAGCUGCAAGCGGUCAGCUUAAAUGGAGUGAGAGCAAUCAGCCACAGGUGUGCCCAGCCUUCCUGCCUCCAGCCAGCUCGAGGGUGACUGCAGAAGAGAAAAACAGCCCAGGAGAAGGCAGAGCACACCUACCGACCUGUGGGAGGAGCUCAGGCACACCUGUUUGCAAUCAGCCUCUGGACAUUUUAUACCCUGCCUUUCUACUUACCUGUUGCCAGAUUGUCUCUCCAUGCACGCCUGACUCCUGUCGUUUUGCCUCGUACCCUAGCUUUCUGGUCUACCUGCCCCUAUUGCCUUUUAACCCCUGAGGAUGCCAUGGAUCGAUACAACACUGUGCUGCAGGCUGUUCAGGCAGGGAGGUCCAAGACUGUGGCAUAUUUAAAGUUGGGAGUAGACAGGAAACCAAUCGCAGACCUGGCUGCAAUUUCUGAGCUGCAUGCAGUUAGAUGUACCUAUGAGGAGGUGCGUUCAGCAAUGGCAAAAAAAUAAUCCCGAAGUGCCUUCCCUGCCUGCUGCAGAGAGAGACUGAAAAACGAUGGUCUGGGCCAGAUUGUGGAGGACAAAAAAAAAGCAGAGCAGUUGCUGCAAAUUUACAUUUGAAAAAAAGUAAACAUGUUGAUUUUUAUUGCUGUUUAAAGUUGAUUUUAUGUUAAAUUGAUGCCUCAAGGGUUCAUGGUUUCUUUAUGUUGUGGUUUCUGUAUUGCAAUCUGUUGACACUGUACUUGAUGUACCCGUUUAAGGUUGAUUGGUUUUGAUAAAUGUCAGUCAUGGUGCACAACUAAAAACAUCUCACAGCAACUCAAAAACAGACAAGACACUACUGCUAUUUUUGCAGAACAAUAACCAACUUUGUAGCUCAAACAUGUAACUUUAAGAGCAUUUGCACAAAAACAAUACUGCAAAGCAUGCUGGGGAACAGGAAGUCCUCCAAGCGACGCUACAAUACGCUAGCAUACAUGCUAUUGUAUGUUUUUAAAAAGCCAGCGCAAAACUGAGUUCGGUUGUACUUUAUUGAAGUAGUUAACAAUGUACUUACGUUAUUUUUCAAUUCAAUCCUCUGCCACACAUCCAUCAAAGUCCUCAUCUUCUGUAUCCCAAAUGAACAGUGGGGCAAGUUCUCCAUCAAACACGACAGGUUCCCUCUCGUCAUUGUCAGAAUCAGUCUCGUUGCCGUGCGGCGCCUCAGAAAUGAUCCCGCCGGCUUUUGUGAAUGCUCCAACAACAGUGCAUCAGACACGUUAGCCCAAGCAUCCACAAUCACAAUUCACAAAUUGUGGCAUAACUGGAAUGGUGCUGUCUCCCAGUCUUAGUGAAGCUGUGUCCGCUAGCUGUCACCCAUCACUUCAACGUCGCUCGUAACUUAACUUUAAACGCCGUGUUUACACCGAUGUCCAGCGGUUGGAGUUCCUUCAUCAAGCCUCCCGGAAUGAUGUCAAGCUCCGAGUUCAUUUGCUGCACUUGGUUUUUCACAGCGGCUGUGAGAUGUGCGCGCAUGCAGUCAGAUAAAAACAUCCGGUCUCUUUCAGUACAUGCCACUCAGCCAUUUUCUCCUCAUCCUUACAGUGCUUUUGAUUGGUCUGGCUGGAAACUUUUGUUUAGGCCGCGUCUUUGUCACGCCCUGCAGCGCGCUCUUAUUUUGGUGGGGCACAGUGGCACACUUUCUCCGGGAGGAAGUGACAGCCGCAUCAUGCCUGGUGGCAGAGCAGCUGUGGAAGAUUAUCAUCAGUGGCGUUUAAAAGGACAGAGCUUUGGUACGUGCGGCGCUGGUUGAUUGGCAUUGCUCCUCGUCUCCGCACCCGAGCUGUCACCUAAAGAUUUGACUCACCUGAUGCACUUCGUUCAUGUUAUUUUUCCCACUGAGCUUUUCCCUCUGUCGCUUUUUGUUUGCACCUUUACAACUGUGAGUACCUGCACUUGCUUGAGCACA
This is a long non-coding RNA of Dunckerocampus dactyliophorus (ringed pipefish), 3597 nucleotides long. RefSeq lists it as uncharacterized. Lineage: Eukaryota; Metazoa; Chordata; Actinopteri; Syngnathiformes; Syngnathidae. The transcript is spliced from 3 exons. The record is from RefSeq and is a predicted model, not a curated record.